This 806-nucleotide ribosomal RNA is filed under the name uncultured bacterium. RNAcentral describes it as "bacterial SSU rRNA". It matches the Rfam family "Bacterial small subunit ribosomal RNA", at positions 8 to 808 of the family's 1533-position model. The record is from RNAcentral.
AGAGUUUGAUUCUGGCUCAGGAUGAACGCUGGCGGCGUGCUUAACACAUGCAAGUCGAACGAAGAUAUUUAGAAUGAGAGCUUCGGCAGGAUUUUUAUCUAUCUUAGUGGCGGACGGGUGAGUAACGUGUGGGCAACCUGCCCUGUACUGUGGAAUAAUCAUUGGAAACGAUGACUAAUACCGCAUGUGGUCCUCGGAAGGCAUCUUCUGAGGAAGAAAGGAUUUAUUCGGUACAGGAUGGGCCCGCAUCUGAUUAGCUAGUUGGUGAGGUAACAGCCCACCAAGGCGAUGAUCAGUAGCCGACCUGAGAGGGUGAUCGGCCACACUGGGACUGAGACACGGCCCAAACUCCUACGGGAGGCAGCAGUGGGGAAUAUUGCACAAUGGGCGAAAGCCUGAUGCAGCAACGCCGCGUGAAGGAUGAAGGGUUUCGGCUCGUAAACUUCUAUCAAUAGGGAAGAAACAAAUGACGGUACCUAAAUAAGAAGCCCCGGCUAACUACGUGCCAGCAGCCGCGGUAAUACGUAGGGGGCAAGCGUUAUCCGGAAUUACUGGGUGUAAAGGGAGCGUAGGCGGCAUGGUAAGCCAGAUGUGAAAGCCUUGGGCUUAACCCGAGGAUUGCAUUUGGAACUAUCAAGCUAGAGUACAGGAGAGGAAAGCGGAAUUCCUAGUGUAGCGGUGAAAUGCGUAGAUAUUAGGAAGAACACCAGUGGCGAAGGCGGCUUUCUGGACUGAAACUGACGCUGAGGCUCGAAAGCGUGGGGAGCAAACAGGAUUAGAUACCCUGGUAGUCCACGCCGUAAACG